Non-coding RNA from Pelobates cultripes (western spadefoot toad), 209 nucleotides. The record is from the annotation of a GenBank genome assembly. NCBI's taxonomy places the organism in Eukaryota, Metazoa, Chordata, Amphibia, Anura, Pelobatidae.
CUGGUGGUCUGUGCCAGAUAGGGAGUUGCAGGUAUUUUGGGAUGUUGGGCCCUGUAGUAUUAGAAAGCUGCAGGCCCCUGGAUCUGUUGGCAUGUCAGGGGUCUCUGGAUCUGCAGUCUCACGUCUCAGCACAUAGAGCCCUGAGUCUUUGGAUCUUGAUCUUUCUACACAAGUCCUUGUAAUUCUCUUUCAUGAAAAUAAAGUGUUCG